AACGAACGCUGGCGGCAUGCCUAACACAUGCAAGUCGAACGAGACCUUCGGGUCUUGUGGCGCACGGGUGCGUAACGCGUGGGAACCUGCCCUUAGGUUCGGAAUAACUCCCCGAAAGGGGUGCUAAUACCGGAUAAUUUCUUCGGACCAAAGAUUUAUCGCCUUUGGAUGGGCCCGCGUUGGAUUAGCUAGUUGGUAGGGUAAAAGCCUACCAAGGCGACGAUCCAUAGCUGGUCUGAGAGGAUGAUCAGCCACACUGGGACUGAGACACGGCCCAGACUCCUACGGGAGGCAGCAGUGGGGAAUAUUGGACAAUGGGCGAAAGCCUGAUCCAGCAAUGCCGCGUGAGUGAUGAAGGCCUUAGGGUUGUAAAGCUCUUUUACCCGGGAUGAUAAUGACAGUACCGGGAGAAUAAGCUCCGGCUAACUCCGUG
Molecule: ribosomal RNA, 433 nt
Filed under: uncultured bacterium
Lineage: Bacteria
Description: partial 16S ribosomal RNA
Rfam family: Bacterial small subunit ribosomal RNA
Source: RNAcentral